CCUACGGGAGGCAGCAGUGGGGAAUAUUGCACAAUGGGGGAAACCCUGAUGCAGCGACGCCGCGUGAGCGAAGAAGUAUUUCGGUAUGUAAAGCUCUAUCAGCAGGGAAGAAAAUGACGGUACCUGCCUAAGAAUCCCCGGCUAACUACGUGCCAGCAGCCGCGGUAAUACGUAGGGGGCAAGCGUUAUCCGGAUUUACUGGGUGUAAAGGGAGCGUAGACGGCAGAGCAAGUCAGAUGUGAAAGCCCGGGGCUCAACCCCGGGACUGCAUUUGAAACUGUACGGCUGGAGUGCUGGAGAGGCAGGCGGAAUUCCUAGUGUAGCGGUGAAAUGCGUAGAUAUUAGGAGGAACACCAGUGGCGAAGGCGGCCUGCUGGACAGCAACUGACGUUGAGGCUCGAAAGCGUGGGGAGCAAACAGGAUUAGAUACCCGAGUAGUC
RNAcentral lists this ribosomal RNA (440 nucleotides) under uncultured bacterium. Its description in RNAcentral is "partial 16S ribosomal RNA". It matches the Rfam family "Bacterial small subunit ribosomal RNA", at positions 338 to 795 of the family's 1533-position model. The record is from RNAcentral.